GGGGGAAAAUUAAUAAAAUUUUAUAUAAAUAAUAAAAAAAGUUUUAAUAAGGGGGGUAUUAAAGUAUUUUUUUAGAAAAAAUAUAAAUUUUUAUAGUUAAAUAGUAUUAUAUAAGAAAUUUGAAAUAAAAUUGAAAAUAAAUUAUUUAAGAAGUAAAUUUAAUUUAUUGUAUCUUGUGUAUCAGAGUUUAUUUAAAAAUAUUUUUUAAAUAAGAAAAUCUCGAAUUUGAAAGAGUUAAUUAAUUAUAAAAUUUAAUGUAGCAUAAUUAUUUUAAAUAAUUAAUUAGAAAUGAAAUGUUAAUCGUUUUCAAAGAUAUCUAGUUUUUUUAGAAAAAAAUUUAAUUUUAAAUUUAAAAAAUUUUAUAAUUAAUUUUUUUUUAAUUAUAAAAUUUUAAAAUUAAAUAUAUUGAGGGAUAAGCUUUAAUUUAAAUUAUUAUAAUAAAAAUAAAUUAAAUUAAAAAUUUUAAAAUUUAUAUUGUUUAAAAAUUGUAAUUUAUUGUAAAUAAUUUUAUUAAAAAAAAAAAUUUAAAUUAAAUUUAAUUUUUUAUAAAAAGAAUAUUUUUUAAUAAGAUAAAAUUAGUAAUAAUGAUAAAAUUAGUAUAUUUUAAAUAGGAAAAAUUAAUUUAAAUUUAAAUUAAUUAAAAGGAAUUCGGCAAAAUUUUAUAUUCACUUGUUUAUCAAAAACAUGUCUUUUUGAAUAAUAAUUUAAAGUCUAAUCUGCCCACUGAUAUAACAUUAAAGGGCUGCAGUAUAUUGACUGUACAAAGGUAGCAUAAUCAUUAGUCUUUUAAUUGAAGACUUGUAUGAAAGAUUUGAUGAGAUAUAAACUGUCUCUUAGUUAUUUAUAGAAAUUAAUUUUUUAGUUAAAAAGCUAAAAUAUUUAUAAAAGACGAGAAGACCCUAUAGAGUUUUAUAAUUAAAAUUAUAAUAAUUGAAUAUAUAAAUUGAAGUUAAAAUAAUUUUAUUUAUUUUAUUGGGGUGAUAGAAAAAUUUAUUUAACUUUUUUUAAAAAUUAAACAUAUAUAAGUGAAAAUAUGAUCCAAUAGAUAUUGAUUAAAAGAAAAAAUUACCUUAGGGAUAACAGCGUAAUUUUUUUUUUUAGUACAAAUAAAAAGAAAAGUUUGCGACCUCGAUGUUGGAUUAAGAUAAAAUUUAAAUGUAAAAGUUUAAAAUUUUGAUCUGUUCGAUCAUUAAAAUCUUACAUGAUCUGAGUUCAAACCGGUGUGAGCCAGGUUGGUUUCUAUCUUUAUAUAAUUAAAAUAUUUUAGUACGAAAGGAUCAAAUAUUUUAAAUAAUUUAAUUAAUGAGAAUUUUAUUAAUAAAUUAAUUUAA
This 1331-nucleotide ribosomal RNA is filed under the name Telchinia issoria (yellow coaster). RNAcentral's name for it is "large subunit ribosomal RNA". The record is from RNAcentral. Lineage: Eukaryota; Metazoa; Arthropoda; Insecta; Lepidoptera; Nymphalidae.